Molecule: long non-coding RNA, 1152 nt
Filed under: Felis catus (domestic cat)
Lineage: Eukaryota; Metazoa; Chordata; Mammalia; Carnivora; Felidae
Description: lncRNA (ENSFCAG00000053068.1)
Source: RNAcentral
AGGUAUUCUCACAGAUAUUCCAACAGAUAUUCCCACAGGUAUUCUCACAGGUCUCAUCACAGGUAUUCCCACAGGUAUUCCCACAGGUAUUCCCACAGGUAUUCCCACAGUAUUCUCACAGGUAUGCUCACAGGUAUGCUCACAGAUAUUCCAACAGAUAUUCCCACAGGUAUUCUCACAGGUAUUCCCACAGGUAUUCUCACAGAUAUUCCAACAGAUAUUCCCACAGGUAUUCUCACAGGUAUCCUCACAGGUAUGCUCACAGAUAUUCAAACAGAUAUUCCCACAGGUAUGCUCACAGGUAUCCUCACAGGUAUUCCCACAGGUAUGCUCACAGAUAUUCCAACAGGUAUUCCCACAGGUAUGCUCAUAGGUAUCCUCAUAGGUAUUCCCACAGGUAUCCUCACAGGUAUUCCCACAGGUAUGCUCACAGGUAUCCUCACAGGUAUUCCCACAGGUAUUCUCACAGAUAUUCCAACAGAUAUUCCCACAGGUAUUCUCACAGGUCUCAUCACAGGUAUUCCCACAGGUAUUCUCACAGGUAUGCUCACAGAUAUUCCAACAGAUAUUCCCACAGGUAUUCUCACAGGUAUUCCCACAGGUAUGCUCACAGAUAUUCCCACAGGUAUUCCCACAGGUAUUCUCACAGGUAUUCUCACAGGUAUCCUCACAGGUAUGCUCACAGAUAUUCAAACAGAUAUUCCCACAGGUAUGCUCACAGGUGUCCCCACAGGUAUUCUCACAGGUAUCCUCACAGGUAUGCUCACAAAUAUCCCAACAGAUAUUCUCACGGGUAUCCUCACAGAUAUUCUCACAGGUCUCCUCAUACGUAUUCCCACAGGUAUGCUCACAGGUAUCCUCACAGGUAUGCUCACAGAUAUUCCAACAGAUAUUCCCACAGGUAUUCUCACAGGUAUCCUCACAGGUAUUCCCACAGGUAUGCUCACAGGUAUGCUCACAGAUAUUCCAACAGGUAUUCCCACAGGUAUUCUCACAGGUCUCCUCAUACGUAUUCCCACAGGUAUUCCCACAGGUAUUCCCACAGGUAUUCCCACAGGUAUUCUUACAGGCGUUCCUGUAGGUACUCCCUCAGGUAUUCCCACAUACUUUCCACAAGUAUUCCCACCGAUGUUUCCUCAGGUGUUCGUUUAG